UCGAGCGAACUUGCGGGAGCUUGCUCCCAAAAGUUAGCGGCGGACGGGUGAGUAACACGUGGGCAACCUGCCUAUAAGACUGGGAUAACUUCGGGAAACCGGAGCUAAUACCGGAUAAUUCUUUUCUACACAUGUGGAAAGGCUAAAAGACGGCUUACGCUGUCGCUUAUAGAUGGGCCCGCGGCGCAUUAGCUAGUUGGUGAGGUAACGGCUCACCAAGGCUACGAUGCGUAGCCGACCUGAGAGGGUGAUCGGCCACACUGGGACUGAGACACGGCCCAGACUCCUACGGGAGGCAGCAGUAGGGAAUCUUCCGCAAUGGACGAAAGUCUGACGGAGCAACGCCGCGUGAGUGAUGAAGGUUUUCGGAUCGUAAAACUCUGUUGUUAGGGAAGAAUAAGUACGAGAGUAACUGCUCGUACCUUGACGGUACCUAACCAGAAAGCCACGGCUAACUACGUGCCAGCAGCCGCGGUAAUACGUAGGUGGCAAGCGUUGUCCGGAAUUAUUGGGCGUAAAGCGCGCGCAGGCGGUCCUUUAAGUCUGAUGUGAAAGCCCACGGCUCAACCGUGGAGGGUCAUUGGAAACUGGGGGACUUGAGUGCAGGAGAGAAGAGUGGAAUUCCACGUGUAGCGGUGAAAUGCGUAGAGAUGUGGAGGAACACCAGUGGCGAAGGCGACUCUUUGGCCUGUAACUGACGCUGAGGCGCGAAAGCGUGGGGAGCAACAGGAUUAGAUACCCUGGUAGUCCACGCCGUA
This 758-nucleotide ribosomal RNA is filed under the name uncultured bacterium. RNAcentral's name for it is "bacterial SSU rRNA". It matches the Rfam family "Bacterial small subunit ribosomal RNA", at positions 62 to 804 of the family's 1533-position model. The record is from RNAcentral.